RNAcentral lists this transfer RNA (75 nucleotides) under Sisyranthus trichostomus. RNAcentral's name for it is "tRNA-Val". It matches the Rfam family "tRNA". From Rfam's summary of the family: Transfer RNA (tRNA) molecules are approximately 80 nucleotides in length. Their secondary structure includes four short double-helical elements and three loops (D, anti-codon, and T loops). Further hydrogen bonds mediate the characteristic L-shaped molecular structure. tRNAs have two regions of fundamental functional importance: the anti-codon, which is responsible for specific mRNA codon recognition, and the 3' end, to which the tRNAs corresponding amino acid is attached (by aminoacyl-tRNA synthetases). tRNAs cope with the degeneracy of the genetic code in two manners: having more than one tRNA (with a specific anti-codon) for a particular amino acid; and 'wobble' base-pairing, i.e. permitting non-standard base-pairing at the 3rd anti-codon position. Lineage: Eukaryota; Viridiplantae; Streptophyta; Magnoliopsida; Gentianales; Apocynaceae. The record is from RNAcentral.
AGGGCUAUAGCUCAGUUGGUAGAGCACCUCGUUUACACACCGAGACGGUCUACGGUUCGAGUCCGUAUAGCCCUA